UACGGGGGGGGCAAGCGUUGUUCGGAAUUACUGGGCGUAAAGGGCUCGUAGGUGGCCAACUAAGUCAGACGUGAAAUCCCUCGGCUUAACCGGGGAACUGCGUCUGAUACUGGAUGGCUUGAGUUCAGGAGAGGGAUGCGGAAUUCCAGGUGUAGCGGUGAAAUGCGUAGAUAUCUGGAGGAACACCGGUGGCGAAGGCGGCAUCCUGGACCGGCAUUGACGCUGAGGCGCGAAAGCUAGGGGAGCAAACGGG
RNAcentral lists this ribosomal RNA (253 nucleotides) under uncultured bacterium. RNAcentral describes it as "partial 16S ribosomal RNA". It matches the Rfam family "Bacterial small subunit ribosomal RNA", at positions 524 to 776 of the family's 1533-position model. The record is from RNAcentral.